CAGCCGCCGCGGGAAUACGUAGGGUGCAAGCGUUAAUCGGAAUUACUGGGCGUAAAGCGUGCGCAGGCGGUUAUAUAAGACAGAUGUGAAAUCCCCGGGCUCAACCUGGGAACUGCAUUUGUGACUGUAUAGCUAGAGUACGGCAGAGGGGGAUGGAAUUCCGCGUGUAGCAGUGAAAUGCGUAGAUAUGCGGAGGAACACCGAUGGCGAAGGCAAUCCCCUGGGCCUGUACUGACGCUUAUGCACGAAAGCGUGGGGAGCAAACAGGAUUAGAUACCCCAGUAGUCCCUGUCUCUUAUAC
This 301-nucleotide ribosomal RNA is filed under the name uncultured bacterium. Its description in RNAcentral is "partial 16S ribosomal RNA". It matches the Rfam family "Bacterial small subunit ribosomal RNA", at positions 509 to 807 of the family's 1533-position model. The record is from RNAcentral.